This 888-nucleotide long non-coding RNA is filed under the name Chinchilla lanigera (long-tailed chinchilla). RNAcentral describes it as "lncRNA (ENSCLAG00000029140.1)". The record is from RNAcentral. Lineage: Eukaryota; Metazoa; Chordata; Mammalia; Rodentia; Chinchillidae.
GCGGGAGAGGCGCCGUCUCUCGGGGGAGAAGCUCUUGAACUGAGUUAAAAAUAUAUUAAAUUUGCAAUCAAUCAAAAAUGCGAAAGGCCCGGAGAAUAUCUUUGGACUUUAUCUUUGAACGCCUUCCAUUUCUCUGAAAGUUGGUGCCGGGGGAAUCUUUUUAAAGCACUUUCUGAAUCAACGAUGGGGUGCGGGGAAGGUCUGGGCUUGAGGUGAAAAGUCUGCUCUCACCUUUUGGCAGAGUAGCAUCCUGAAUGCAAUUUCCGAGGAAAUUUUGGGGACCGUUGCUUCGCUGAAAGUGGAAGCCAAGUCCGAAUGCAUCUUUCCAGCCUGGCAGGCUGGAAUAAUAAACAGUUUCAGUUCCACUGCAAUUAUUCACAGAUCCAAGUCUGCUACAUCAUUAUUAAGCAAUGAGGAGGAGGAGGACAGCGGCACCCAUAGUCUUCUUACCAUGUGCCAGACAGUGCCAGCAAUCGGGAAGAUGAGGACGCCAUCGAGCCUGCUAGGUCAUGGGUGCUGGUUAUUUAGCCCUGAAAGCUUUCAAAGGAACUACACAGCGAGCAGGGCCGCGGGCAAUUGUACGGCCUCUGGACGGAGCCACGGUUAAGUGUUUCUUCUAACAGAGUAUUACAAGAGGCCCAUAGCCUAACACAAAAGAGGUGCUCUUCUGGCUGAGGGUGGAGAAACUCCCAAGAAGACCCCAACUUGAUCAGCCGCACUUCUGCCUCCCCGCUGAACCCUUUGACAGUUCAGCCCCCUCAGUGUAUCGCAGAGGGCGCGCAGUGGUGAAGAGAACAAUUGGUGAGUGUGUGGGGCUGGGGAUUUAGCUCAGCGGCAAGUGCCUGCCUGGCACGGGCAAGGUCGUGAGUUCGGUUCCCGGUACCGGAG